UUUGAACGCUCGGUGGCGUGCUUAACACAUGCAAGUCGAGCGAGAACGGGACCUUUGGUCCUUAGUAGAGCGGCGCACGGGUGAGUAACGCGUAGAUAAUCUGCCUUUCAGUUCGGGAUACCAGGUGGAAACGCCUGUCAAUACCGGAUAAACUUAAGAUAUAAACUGUCUUAGGCAAAGAUGGCCUCUGAUGCAAGCUGUCGCUGGAAGAUGAGUCUGCGUCUCAUUAGCUAGUUGGUAGGGUAAAGGCCUACCAAGGCAACGAUGAGUAGCCGUCCUGAGAGGGAGAUCGGCCACACUGGAACUGAGACACGGCCCAGACUCCUACGGGAGGCAGCAGUGGGGAAUCUUGCACAAUGGGGUCACCCCUGAUGCAGCCAUGCCGCGUGGAGGAAGACACCCCUAUGGGGCGUAAACUCCUUUUCUGAGAGAAGAACCCCCUGUAGGUUCAGGGUGUGACGGUAUCUCAGGAAUAAGCGCCGGCUAACUCCGUGCCAGCAGCCGCGGUAAUACGGAGGGUGCAAGCGUUGUCCGGAAUCACUGGGCGUAAAGGGUGCGCAGGCGGGGCAGCAAGUCGGAGGUGAAAGCCCGUGGCUCAACCACGGAAGCGCCUUCGAAACUGUUGCUCUUGAGUCCCGGAGAGGUUGCCGGAAUUCGUGGUGUAGCGGUGAAAUGCGUAGAUAUCACGAGGAACACCAGAGGCGAAAGCGGGCAACUGGACGGGUACUGACGCUCAGGCACGAAAGCGCGGGGAGCAAACAGGAUUAGAUACCCUGGUAGUCCGCGCCGUAAACGAUGAAUGCUCGCCGUUAUUCCGCUUAAGGAAUAGUGGCUAAGCUAACGCGUUAAGCAUUCCGCCUGGGGAGUACGAUCGCAAGGUUGAAACUCAAAGGAAUUGACGGGGGCCCGCACAAGCGGUGGAGCAUGUGGCUCAAUUCGAUGCAACGCGAAGAACCUUACCUAGGCUCGAACGCUAGGGGACCGCUCCUGAAAGGGAGCUUUCCGCAAGGACCCCUAGCGAGGUACUGCAUGGCUGUCGUCAGCUCGUGUCGUGAGAUGUUGGGUUAAGUCCCGCAACGAGCGUAACCCUUGUCGUUAGUUACCAGCGGGUAGUGCCGGGGACUCUAGCGAGACCGCCUGCGCAAGCAGUGAGGAAGGUGGGGAUGACGUCAAGUCAUCAUGGUCCUUACGCCUAGGGCUGCACACGUGCUACAAUGGUCGGGACAACGAGCAGCCACCUCGCGAGGGGGAGCGAAUCUCUCAAACCCGAUCGCAGUUCGGAUUGGAGUCUGCAACUCGACUCCAUGAAGCCGGAAUCGCUAGUAAUCGCGGAUCAGCAAUGCCGCGGUGAAUUCGUUCCCGGGCCUUGUACACACCGCCCGUCAAGCCAUGGAAGCUGAGAGCACCCGAAGUCCGUGACUCAACUCCGGCGUUCAGCCGGAGGGAGAGCGGCCGAAGGUGAGCUCAGUAACUGGGGCU
RNAcentral lists this ribosomal RNA (1479 nucleotides) under uncultured bacterium. Its description in RNAcentral is "bacterial SSU rRNA". It matches the Rfam family "Bacterial small subunit ribosomal RNA". The record is from RNAcentral.